RNAcentral lists this ribosomal RNA (497 nucleotides) under uncultured bacterium. Its description in RNAcentral is "partial 16S ribosomal RNA". It matches the Rfam family "Bacterial small subunit ribosomal RNA", at positions 28 to 507 of the family's 1533-position model. The record is from RNAcentral.
GACGAACGCUGGCGGCGUGCCUAAUACAUGCAAGUAGAACGCUGAAGAGAGGAGCUUGCUCUUCUUGGAUGAGUUGCGAACGGGUGAGUAACGCGUAGGUAACCUGCCUUGUAGCGGGGGAUAACUAUUGGAAACGAUAGCUAAUACCGCAUAACAAUGGAUGACACAUGUCAUUUAUUUGAAAGGGGCAAUUGCUCCACUACAAGAUGGACCUGCAUUGUAUUAGCUAGUAGGUGAGGUAACGGCUCACCUAGGCGACGAUACAUAGCCGACCUGAGAGGGUGAUCGGCCACACUGGGACUGAGACACGGCCCAGACUCCUACGGGAGGCAGCAGUAGGGAAUCUUCGGCAAUGGGGGCAACCCUGACCGAGCAACGCCGCGUGAGUGAAGAAGGUUUUCGGAUCGUAAAGCUCUGUUGUAAGUCAAGAACGAGUGUGAGAGUGGAAAGUUUACACUGUGACGGUAGCUUACCAGAAAGGGACGGCUAACUACGUG